CGGCCAUCUGUAUCAUACAGAGAUAAGGUCUUAAUCACUGGAAUGAGAUACAUUUGCAAAGAGAAUUCCAUUUUUAGUAGUUACAAACACAUUCCAGCAUUAAUUGUGAAAUCCAUAUAUUUUUCAGUCCCAAUUAGAUGCAAGUCUCUUCAGCAUAAAUGAGAUUAAUCUUCAGCUCUCAUAAGCAUAUCAUUAAGCAAAUUUAACAAACCUGGGUCAUGUUGGGUGCAAAG
RNAcentral lists this unclassified non-coding RNA (233 nucleotides) under Hevea brasiliensis (rubber tree). The record is from RNAcentral. Lineage: Eukaryota; Viridiplantae; Streptophyta; Magnoliopsida; Malpighiales; Euphorbiaceae.